AACGAACGCUGGCAGCGUGGAUUAGGCAUGCAAGUCGAACGAGAACCUAUUGAUUCAAUCUUUCGGGAGAGAAACUUUAGGGGAGAGUGGCGAAAGGGUGAGUAACGCGUGGGUAACCUACCUUGAAGUUCGGGAUAACUCGGCGGAAGCUGGGCUAAUACCGAAUGUGGUUGUCUUCCGCAUGGCGGACAGAUUAAAGACGGGGAUUCUUCGGAACCUGUCGCUUCAUGAGGGGCCCGCGUCCUAUCAGCUUGUUGGUGAGGUAAAAGCUCACCAAGGCUUACGGGUAGCUGGUCUGAGAGGAUGGUCAGCCACACUGGGACUGAGACACUGCCCAGACUCCUACGGGAGGCUGCAGUCGAGGAUCAUUCGCAAUGCGCGAAAGCGUGACGAUGCGACGCUGCGUGGGGGAUGACGGCCUUCGGGUUGUAAACCCCUGUCAUUCGGGAACAACAAUUUGAGUGUUAAUAGCACUUGGACCUGAUAGUACCGAAAGAGGAAGCCACGGCUAACUCUGUGCCAGCAGCCGCGGUAAUACAGAGGUGGCGAGCGUUGUUCGGAUUUACUGGGCGUAAAGGGUGCGCAGGUGGUUCUGUGUGUCGGAUGUGAAAUGUCACCGCUCAACGGUGAAAGGACAUUCGAAACUGCAGGACUAGAGUGCAGGAGAGGAGAGCGGAAUUCUUGGUGUAGCGGUGGAAUGCGUUGAUAUCAAGAAGAACACCGGUGGCGAAGGCGGCUCUCUGGAAUGUAACUGACACUGAGGCACGAAAGUUGGGGUAGCGAACAGGAUUAGAUACCCUGGUAGUCCCAACCGUAAACGUUGUGUACUUGGUGUGGGGAGAUUUGACCCUUCCCGUGCCGGAGCUAACGCGUUAAGUACACCGCCUGGGGAGUACGGCCGCAAGGCUAAAACUCAAAGAAAUUGACGGGGGCCCGCACAAGCGGAGGAGCAUGUGGCUCAAUUCGAUGCAACGCGAAGAACCUUACCAGGGCUUGACAUGGGGACCCUUCGGGGGUGGUAGUGAAAGCUACCUUUACCAUCACAGGUGCUGCAUGGCUGUCGUCAGUUCGUGCCGUGAGGUGUUGGGUUAAGUCCCGCAACGAACGCAACCCCUGUGUUUAGUUGCUAGCGUGGGUGUUAAGCCUGCGCGCACUCUAGACAGACCGCCCGUGUAAGCGGGAGGAAGGUGGGGAUGACGUCAAGUCAGUAUGGCCCUUAUGCCCUGGGCUGCACACGUGCUACAAUGGCCGGUACAGUGGGAAGCAAGACCGCGAGGUGGAGCCAAUCCCCAAAACCGGCCUCAGUUCGGAUUGGAGUCUGCAAUUCGACUCCAUGAAGUUGGAUUCGCUAGUAAUGCCGUAUCAGCUACGACGGCGUGAAUACGUUCCCGGGCCUUGUACACACCGCCCGUCACAUCAUGAAAGCUUUGUGCACUCGAAGUCGCUGUACCAACUUUUACGAGAGGAAGGCGCCGAAGGUGUGUGGAGUGAUUGGGAUG
RNAcentral lists this ribosomal RNA (1499 nucleotides) under uncultured bacterium. RNAcentral describes it as "bacterial SSU rRNA". It matches the Rfam family "Bacterial small subunit ribosomal RNA". The record is from RNAcentral.